CUGUCUGCGACUCGAAAGUGAAGGGGGCAGGAAAAGGCGUGUGGACCAAUGCUCAUCUCCCAGCCCAUCUUGUGUUUGGUCCGUAUGAGGGCCGUGUCCUAUCUGGCCAUCCGGAAGCCGGUAAAGAAUCUGGCUAUGGCUGGAAGAUUCGAGGUACUGGAACAAGGAAUACGUGCAUUGAUGCUGUAGACAGUGCAGUUAGUAACUGGAUGCGUUACGUCAACUGUUCAAGAACUGAAGCUGAGACCAACCUAUCUACAUUUCAGUACAAGGGGCAGAUCUACUACAAGACGGACUCUGCAAUUAGCAGGGGGAGCGAGUUGAUGUGCUGGUACGGAGACGAUUACGGGAAGGAUCUGGGUCUGUCAAGAGAGCCGUCCAAGUGGAAACCAGCGAAGAAAGAUGUAAAAGAUCGGCAGUGCGAAUGGUGUG
Non-coding RNA from Penaeus vannamei (Pacific white shrimp), 432 nucleotides. The record is from RefSeq and is a predicted model, not a curated record. Lineage: Eukaryota; Metazoa; Arthropoda; Malacostraca; Decapoda; Penaeidae.